Molecule: long non-coding RNA, 1029 nt
Organism: Acanthochromis polyacanthus (spiny chromis)
Lineage: Eukaryota; Metazoa; Chordata; Actinopteri; Pomacentridae
Exons: 3
Source: RefSeq, a predicted model, not a curated record
AACACCAGCAGAUCCACACCAGACAGAAAGCAUUCAUCAGUGUCACAGUGAGAACGGAACAGAUGGACAAAACUCUCAGACUUGUCAGCACUCUGCCAAUGGUGAACAGUGCUGCUUUGACCAGUCUGGACCGACGUCCAAUCAACAAGGAACCCUACAACGACACCAGCGUAUGCACACUGGACACAGACUGAACCCCUGCCAAGAAGAUUUCUCCAUGCAGGAUUCAGUAAAAGUUCAUGAAGUCCUCCACAAACUUAAAGUCCUUGAGAUCCGGCUUCACAGAAUUCAGGAGAACAAUGUGAUGAGUGCACCGAGAGAUCCAAUACAGGGAGCUUUCCUUUUUCAAAGAUCAUUAGAAGGACAGAAGACAAAGUAAGUUUCAGCAAACAGCUUUUUAUUUUCUAAUGAGCCAAUCUAUAGUAUUUAAAGUGCAGAGUUAUUUGUGUUAGAUUUGAACAAAAUUCUUCCAACAGUGUAAGGACUUAGUCUUUCUACUUUCAUUUGCAAUUGUUCUAGAAACCUAUCAUCUGGGUCAGGUGGUCACUCUGCAGCACAAGGAGUACUAUCCCACAUUGGAUCUGAUGUUAAUAUUUCCCUUAGACAUGGUAAAUUGACUGACUGGCUGAUAUUGUAGAGUUAGUAAAUAUAGGCAGUUAACAAAAGGAAAUGAAUGCUGCUUUGUGGAGGUACCAGAAUUUGGCCAUUUAACAAAAAAAUCUAAUGCUAAUAUUCUUUUAUUUCACCAGACUGUUAUUGUUUACACUUCAAUGAAUGAUGCUGUUGUACAUGUAUAGUAAUUUUAUUCAUCUUCAUGCAUACAGUGUUUGUGUACAGUAUGCGUGAUCAUAUUUUAAAAUAUAUAUAUUAACAAGGCCAACAACAAGUAAAAUGUGGUAACUGCAAGCUGUUUCUUCUGAGAUCCGUUUAUGAUGUGCUGUAUUGUUUUAUGAUGACCAAUUUUAAGAACUUAUUUAUUGUGGCAGGGCACUAUAUAAUUACACAAUUACAUCUAAGUAUGAAUAGUAU